This 73-nucleotide transfer RNA is filed under the name Ovis aries (sheep). It matches the Rfam family "tRNA". From Rfam's summary of the family: Transfer RNA (tRNA) molecules are approximately 80 nucleotides in length. Lineage: Eukaryota; Metazoa; Chordata; Mammalia; Artiodactyla; Bovidae. The record is from Rfam by way of RNAcentral.
UCCCUGGUGGCUCAGAGGUUAAAGCAUCUGCCUGGAAUGCAGGAGAUCCCGGAUUCGAUCCCUGGGUUGGGAA